UUGAACGCUGGCGGCAUGCUUUACACAUGCAAGUCGAGCGGCAGCGGGGGCUUCGGCCUGCCGGCGAGUGGCGAACGGGUGAGUAAUGCAUCGGAACGUACCCAGUCGUGGGGGAUAACUACGCGAAAGCGUAGCUAAUACCGCAUACGUCCUGAGGGAGAAAGCGGGGGAUCUUCGGACCUCGCGCGAUUGGAGCGGCCGAUGUCGGAUUAGCUAGUAGGUGAGGUAAAGGCUCACCUAGGCGACGAUCCGUAGCGGGUCUGAGAGGAUGAUCCGCCACACUGGGACUGAGACACGGCCCAGACUCCUACGGGAGGCAGCAGUGGGGAAUUUUGGACAAUGGGGGCAACCCUGAUCCAGCCAUGCCGCGUGAGUGAAGAAGGCCUUCGGGUUGUAAAGCUCUUUCAGACGGAAAGAAAACGCACAGGUUAAUACCUUGUGUGGAUGACGGUACCGUAAGAAGAAGCACCGGCUAACUACGU
This 482-nucleotide ribosomal RNA is filed under the name uncultured bacterium. RNAcentral describes it as "bacterial SSU rRNA". It matches the Rfam family "Bacterial small subunit ribosomal RNA", at positions 29 to 506 of the family's 1533-position model. The record is from RNAcentral.